This 107-nucleotide small nuclear RNA is filed under the name Mus spretus (western wild mouse). Lineage: Eukaryota; Metazoa; Chordata; Mammalia; Rodentia; Muridae. The record is from RNAcentral.
AUACUCGCUCCAGCAGUACAUAUACUAAAACUGGAACAAUACAGAGAAGAUUAGCAUGGCCCCUGUGCAAAGAUAACACUCAAAUUCAUGAAGAGUUCCAUAUUUUU